UACGUAGGGGGCGAGCGUUGUCCGGAUUUAUUGGGCGUAAAGAGCUCGUAGGCGGUUUGGCAAGUCGGGUGUGAAAACUCCGGGCUCAACUCGGAGACGCCACUCGAUACUGCCAUGACUCGAGUCCGGUAGGGGAGUGCGGAAUUCCUGGUGUAGCGGUGAAAUGCGCAGAUAUCAGGAGGAACACCGGUGGCGAAGGCGGCACUCUGGGCCGGUACUGACGCUGAGGAGCGAAAGCGUGGGGAGCGAACAGGA
This 255-nucleotide ribosomal RNA is filed under the name uncultured prokaryote. RNAcentral describes it as "partial 16S ribosomal RNA". It matches the Rfam family "Bacterial small subunit ribosomal RNA", at positions 524 to 777 of the family's 1533-position model. The record is from RNAcentral.